GAGGCACAAGAAUUUCCGACUACAGAGAAAGAAAGUGGCUGUUGAUGGCAUGGUAUCACACAUAGAGGCACAAGAAUUUCCGACUACAGAGAAAGAAAUUGGCUGUUGAUGGCAUGGUAUCAUACAUAGAGGCACAAGAAUUUCCGACUAGAGAGAAAGAAAGUGGCUGUUGAAGGCAUGGUAUCACACACACAGGCACAAGAAUUUCCGACUAGAGAGAAAGAAAGUGGCUGUUGAAGGCAUGGUAUCACACAUACAGGCACAAGAAUUUCCGACUAGAGAGAAAGAAAGUGGCUGUUGAAGGCAUGGUAUCACACAUAGAGACACAAGAAUUUCCGACUAGAGAGAAAGAAAGUGGCUGUUGAAGGCAUGGUAUCAUACACAGAGGCACAAGAAUUUCCGACUAGAGAGAAAGAAAGUGGCUGUUGAUGGCAUGGUAUCACACACACAGAAACAAGAAUUUCCGACUACAGAGAAAGAAAGUGGCUGUUGAUGGCAUGGUAUCAUACAUAGAGGCACAAGAAUUUCCAAACUUUGAGACUGAUUGUUGAAGAUAAAAUAUUCCAGGGCUGCCAGGAAGGCAGAAUAAAUUUCCGUCCAACCUACAAGUUUGAUGUAAACAUGGACACCUACGACACAUCAUACAAAAACAGAAUUCCUUCCUAGACUGAUCGUAUUUUGUUCUGCUGCAAGAAAAAGGAUACAAUCUCAUGUGUCCAUUAUGAUGCUGUGACCAGUGUUAAGGUGUCCGACCACAAACCAGUGUUUUCCUGUGUUUCAGAUAGUAAUCAAGCCUGGCAAGAACACAUAAGUAUUGCAUGGAAUUUUAUUUUAAAACAACCUAGUAUAUAGUUAACUUGACAGUUUAAUAAAAAUAAAACUAAUUAAUCCAAUGUCAUGACUCUUUACUUUUGUAUGAAAAAAUACAGUCUUUGGCUGUUACUGGUAGAAACUUUGUAGUAAGUAACUUUAAAUAUGUAGUAGUGAGGUCAAAUAACUUAAGUUAGUAAAUUACCUUCACCAGCCCAGAGACAAAUGGAAAAAUGUUUGGUGAUUGUAAUGGUUUUGUACAUAAAUUAUACAAAACUGUAUUCAGAACAGUUUUGCUAAAUGCAUUGAGAAUAAAAAAUUAAUAUUUUUCAGUUUCAGUUUGGCACCUGGUCAUUUUGCCGAGCAGUGUACACAGAAGCAAACAAGAGACGAGCAAGUAACAUGAUGGAGAACAAGCAACUCGACACCAGACACAGUGCUUUGUGUUCCAUACAAUGACAAUAAAAACGACAGCUAAAAUUGUAUCACAGUUUUAGAUGAAUCCUGCAUCAGAUAACCUUGAAACAGUGUCAGUUAUGGGCAGCUGUUUUUGUAAUGUCUGUCAAAAUAUAUUUAAUGACACCCAAACACUUGAAAAACAAACCAAACCCCAGGAAUAUACUAUGUAGUUAGAGGCCUUUCUUGAUUAUCAGUAUUUUCACAAACAUAUAAAGCAUAAUCAUUUUUUUGCUACAUUUUGUUUUUAAGGUGUAGACUUGUAUUAUACCCCUCCUCUCCACAUUUGGUUUGUACUUGUAAAAAUAUUGAUAAUAUUUGUGAACAGUCUCUUCGUUAAAAUUGCAUAUUAGUGCUUAAAUCUACAAAACCAAUAAAUGUACAUUAACAGAUAGCGACAGACGUAUCCUGCAGCCAUCAGUUGUGUUGGCAGGUAAUGAUGAUUGAUCAAAGUAAAGUGAUAAACUGCUACAAGUAAAUCAUUCCAUGGUGAAUUCUACUUAUCAUGCCCUAUUGCAUUCAUCAUUCUUACUUUCACAGUGUAACCGCAACAUCCUACAUGUUAAAGGAACGCUAAAUUAAGGCUUUUUGACUGCUACAUACUUUCAUCUAAUAGAUGUUUUCUAUAUCAAUUUUAAAAAAUUGCAUAUUUAAUUAAAUGACACUUUCGCUAUUUAGUAGAUGCAACCAUUGUUUUAACGUUUAACAUUGAAUGCCACCUUGUGAGCAGGCAUUGUAUUAGUUCUGUGAUGUCUACAUCACCUUGUCUGUCAGUCAAGACUGGUCAGUAUAGUUUGGUCCCAGUGUUUUUCUGACAACAAACACUUCGAUUUCAGACUGCAUAAAUGAACAGUGGGGAGACAUUUUCUUUAAUUUGGGUUGACUUUUUUUUUAAAUACAGUAGAAUCUCAUUGGCUCGAACACUGUCGGUGCAUCAAAGUCUGUUCGACCCAUCGGGUAGUUCGAACCACGCAUUCAGCCGUUGUCGGGUGCUUGUGUAACACAACAAUCAAUCGGACAACCUCGCAUGUUUCCGUAAAACCUGCUUGGGCGAGAUGAUCGGAUUGACUCAUGAAUUGAUUGGUGUUACUUGCAAGGUUCAUUCAUCUAACGAUUACCGCAUUACAAUUGCAAGAUAAUUAACGACAGGUGCUAAAUAAACAACACGAUAAGCGUGAAAGGGUCGACGAAAAAAUUAUACAUAAAUUAUUUUUUAUAUUUCUUCGGAUAAACGUAGCCGUUCGAGCUAAAUAUGUUUAAUUUUACAGUUCGGACUAAUAAACUGGUUCGAGAGAAAGCUUCUGUUCGACCCCAGGGGUAUUCGACCAAUCAGCACCAAAAUAAAGGGGUUUAAUAGAGAGAAAAAUCGGGACUUUGCUCUUGGUUCGAGAAUACCGGUAGGUUCGACCGUAGGGCGUUCGAGCCAUUGAGAUUCUACUGUACGUAUAUUGAUGUAGGAACUUUGGAUUGGCAUCUCCAUAAAAUAGUAAUAAAUUCUGGUCAAGCACUUUUUUAUUUUUAAAUACAUAUAUUGAUGUAUGAACAUUUGAUAGGCAUUUUUCCAACAAAGAAUGCUUAUUUUUCAUAAUACUCCUGCUUUAACCUAUUCUUCUCUGUAUACAGCCUGUUGCAGUGGCAUCCCCAUAGUGCUCACUUGGCAUGCUUAUAAUACUCCUGCUUUAACCUAUUCUUCUCUGUAUACAGGCUGUUGCAGUGGCAUCCCCAUAGUGCUCACUUGGCAUGCUUAUAAUACUCCUGCUUUAACCUGUUCUUCUCUGUAUACAGGCUGUUGCAGUGGCAUCCCCAUAGUGCUCACUUGGCAUGCUUAUAAUACUCCUGCUUUAACCUGUUCUUCUCUGUAUACAGGCUGUUGCAGUGGCAUCCCCAUAGUGCUCACUUGGCAUGCUUAUAAUACUCCUGCUUUAACCUGUUCUUCUCUGUAUACAGGCUGUUGCAGUGGCAUCCCCAUAGUGCUCACUUGGCAUGCUUAUAAUACUCCUGCUUUAACCUAUUCUUCUCUGUAUACAGGCUGUUGCAGUGGCAUCCCCAUAGUGCUCACUUGGCAUGCUUAUAAUACUCCUGCUUUAACCUAUUCUUCUCUGUAUACAGCCUGUUGCAGUGGCAUCCCCAUAGUGCUCACUUGGCA
Gigantopelta aegis is the source of this 3412-nucleotide long non-coding RNA. RefSeq lists it as uncharacterized. The transcript has 4 exons. The record is from RefSeq and is a predicted model, not a curated record. NCBI's taxonomy places the organism in Eukaryota, Metazoa, Mollusca, Gastropoda, Neomphalida, Peltospiridae.